AGUGAACGCUGGCGGAAGGCCUAACACAUGCAAGUCGAACGGCAGCACAGGAGAGCUUGCUCUCUGGGUGGCGAGUGGCGGACGGGUGAGGAAUACAUCGGAAUCUACCCUGUCGUGGGGGAUAACGUAGGGAAACUUACGCUAAUACCGCAUACGACCUACGGGUGAAAGCAGGGGAUCUUCGGACCUUGCGCGAUUGAAUGAGCCGAUGUCGGAUUAGCUAGUUGGCGGGGGAAAGGCCCACUAAGGCGACGAUCCGUAGCUGGUCUGAGAGGAGUAUCAGCCACACUGGAACUGAGAAACGGUCCGGCCUCCUACGGGGGGCAGCAGUGGGGAAUAUUGGACAAUGGGCGCAAGCCUGAUCCAGCCAUACCGCGUGGGUGAAGAAGGCCUUCGGGUUGUAAAGCCCUUUUGUUGGGAAAGAAAUCCAGCUGGCUAAUACCCGGUUGGGAUGACGGUACCCAAAGAAUAAGCACCGGCUAACUUCGUGCCAGCCGCCGCCGUAA
RNAcentral lists this ribosomal RNA (506 nucleotides) under uncultured bacterium. Its description in RNAcentral is "partial 16S ribosomal RNA". It matches the Rfam family "Bacterial small subunit ribosomal RNA", at positions 29 to 523 of the family's 1533-position model. The record is from RNAcentral.